RNAcentral lists this ribosomal RNA (507 nucleotides) under uncultured bacterium. RNAcentral's name for it is "bacterial SSU rRNA". It matches the Rfam family "Bacterial small subunit ribosomal RNA", at positions 772 to 1277 of the family's 1533-position model. The record is from RNAcentral.
ACUAAAUAGAUACCCCGGUAGUCCACGCCGUAAACGAUGAGUGCUAAGUGUUAGAGGGUUUCCGCCCUUUAGUGCUGCAGCUAAACGCAUUAAGCACUCCGCCUGGGGAGUACGGCCGCAAGGCUGAAACUCAAAGGAAUUGACGGGGGCCCGCACAAGCGGUGGAGCAUGUGGUUUAAUUCGAAGCAACGCGAAGAACCUUACCAGGUCUUGACAUCCUCUGACACUCCUAGAGAUAGGAUUUUCCCCUUCGGGGGACAGAGUGACAGGUGGUGCAUGGUUGUCGUCAGCUCGUGUCGUGAGAUGUUGGGUUAAGUCCCGCAACGAGCGCAACCCUUGAUCUUAGUUGCCAGCAUUCAGUUGGGCACUCUAAGGUGACUGCCGGUGACAAACCGGAGGAAGGUGGGGAUGACGUCAAAUCAUCAUGCCCCUUAUGACCUGGGCUACACACGUGCUACAAUGGAUGGUACAAAGGGCUGCAAAACCGCAAGGUCGAGCCAAUCCCAU